This is a long non-coding RNA of Aplysia californica (California sea hare), 1194 nucleotides long. RefSeq lists it as uncharacterized. The record is from RefSeq and is a predicted model, not a curated record. The transcript is spliced from 2 exons. Lineage: Eukaryota; Metazoa; Mollusca; Gastropoda; Aplysiida; Aplysiidae.
UAUCUUGAAUUGAAGUCAGAUAUUUGCAAUUGAAGGUAGUGGGGGUUGCCUGGUAUGAGAGGUAAAACUAGCGAGAAAAUGACUGCCAAAGUGUGGUGACUUCCAAGGCUUCAGAGUUCUUGGAAAGUGGAAAUUUACCCUGUUCGUGCCCUUAAUGAACGCUUUUCGGUAACAUCUACUCGGAAAUGCAUUUGAAAAGGACAUAAAAAGGGUUGCGCCAAAAAUAGAAAAUCUGAAACAAAAUUACCCCACACCCAGAAAAAUGCUGUUUUCUUUUACUUCAUUGUUUUGACGAGCGCCUGAUGUCUCCACGCUGCCUCACAAAUGCUCCUCCAUCUCUGUUCUUGGAAUGUAACCCUUUACAUCCUGUGUUGAGGUUUACUUUGGAAGCAGUAGAAAUUUUCCUAGGACUUCUCUGACUCAUUAAAGUGGUUUAUAUUAGAAACAAGGAAAGAGGAUUUGACAGGUGUUUUUUUUUCUGUCUGUUCUAUGAAAUUGACUUUUUUGGAGUUGAUUACUUGGCUGCCGACACUGUGGAUAUGUGGGAAGGGGAUUAAAAGUAAAAAAUGUACUAGCUUCCUGAGUUUUCAGUCUAUGGUGAUUUUUACAAGUUGUUCCUCAGCAUGAUAGUUUUAUUUGUAGUUUUUACUGCUUGGUGUAUCUUUUGUUUCCAAAGACUGUCUUUUACUAUUUGAAAUGGCUUCCACUUGUACAAUGCACUCAACCCUUUCAAAUGUUCAGCUCAAAUUUUCUUCUCCAUUACUCCACUUUGCUUCUCAGGUCUUCCUUUUAAAAUUAAACUCUGGUCCCGCUUGAUUUUCAGAUUUUUUCCCAAAGGUUAAAGUUUGGGUAUAUUGACAGUUACAAAAAUAAUUCUUCCUUUUCCCAAAGGUUAAAGUUUGGGUAUAUUGACAGUUACAAAAAUAAUUCUUUCUUUUCCCAAAGGUUAAAGUUUGGGUAUAUUGACAGUUACAAAAAUAAUUCUUUCUUUUCCCAAAGGUUAAAGUUUGGGUAUAUUGACAGUUACAAAAAUAAUUCUUUCUUUUCCCAAAGGUUAAAGUUUGGGUAUAUUGACAGUUACAAAAAUAAUUCUUUCUUUUCCCAAAGGUUAAAGUUUGGGUAUAUUGACAGUUACAAAAAUAAUUCUUUCUUUUCCCAAAGGUUAAAGUUUGGGUAUAUUGACAGUUACAAAAA